This 399-nucleotide ribosomal RNA is filed under the name Triticum aestivum (bread wheat). RNAcentral's name for it is "partial small subunit ribosomal RNA". Lineage: Eukaryota; Viridiplantae; Streptophyta; Magnoliopsida; Poales; Poaceae. The record is from RNAcentral.
AUGGGUUUUCAAGAGGCUAUAGCACAAACGGAUCUUGAUAUUCGGUUGUUGAAACAGCCACCCAACAGCCCCGAUAUGAAUGUUUUAGACCUAUGCUUGCAUAAUUCUCUUCAGUCCCUAACUGAUUGCUUAUGACCUAAAACUAUUCAGGAAUUGGUAGAAGGUGUGGAGGAACAAUUCGAGAACUAUGAGGUUCAGAAGUUGUUUAGAAGCUUUGUGACACUCCGGGCAGUUAUGAUUGAGGUUAUAAAAAAGAAAGGAGGCAAUGAUUAUACACUCCCGCAUUUGCAUAAAGAUCGCCAUCAAAAUGAAGGAAGGCCAGCAAUCUUUCUAUCUUGCGAUGCUCGGCUAGUUGCUGAGACCAAGGCCCUUAUUGAGGAAGGAGAGAGAGAGGAGUGA